UUUUUGAAAUCCUGGACAGAAUCGUGCCCAAGAAAACCUGCGUGACAGAAUAAAAAUAAAAAUAACAGAAUUAAAGAUUUGAUUUGGAAAAAAAUGAAAAAAAACAGAAUCUAAAGUUGACUGAAAUUGUGAUUAUGAAAAUAAUAAAAAUAAUAAUGAGAGUUGAAGGAAAAGAAAUUCUUGUUGGUAGAUUCUAGCCUCCAGUUGUCUCAUUCCGCCUUGGGUUCGAUCCUCGGCUUUUAAAUAACCCUUCUCAACUCAAGUAAGCUAGUUAUAGUGAAAGAGGACGCCUACAACC
RNAcentral lists this long non-coding RNA (298 nucleotides) under Gossypium barbadense (sea-island cotton). RNAcentral's name for it is "long non-coding RNA (GBAR_LNC009441)". Lineage: Eukaryota; Viridiplantae; Streptophyta; Magnoliopsida; Malvales; Malvaceae. The record is from RNAcentral.